CAGCCCUAUCCCCUUCUCCCUUUUCUUCCUCACUCCAAACGGCGUUGCACGCCGAAACCAAGACAAAGCUCGGCCACCACACGCCGGUGGUGGCCCUCCUACGCUGGUGUUAGUCACACGCACUCACAUCUCGCCAGAUUCGGCCCUAGACCACCCUAAACCGAGACUAAGACCACGACCCUAAACGGCCAAAAGGGUCUCCGAUGCUCUCCUUUCACAACGAAGACACCCCGGCGGCGGGACUCAACCGACCGGGCAAGAUGUGUAUUUGGCAGCAAGGUAUGGGCAGGGAAUGGGAUUGCUCGGUGGAGGAUGGGCAACAGCCCCGGUUUGUGUGCUCGUGGAGCAGCAGGGCAUGGGUGACUGGAUGGGGAGUUGACCUUUGUCUGCUCGUGGGUGGUGCUUGGGCAGCAGGGCAGAUAUACUUCUGUCUCCUGAGUUUCAACCUUCUGUAGAGCAGCUGAUUUGUUUUCAGACAGCAAAUCGCCAAAUUUUGAUGUUUUCAGCCACAUAUCCAGUUACAGUUAUGGACUUUAAAGACAUAUAUCUACAAAAACCUUAUAUUAUUAAUCUAACGGAUGAACUUGCCCUAAAGGGUAUUACACAAUAUUAUGCUUUUGUGGAAGAAAGACAGAAAGUCCACUGCUUAAAUACUCUUUUCCCUAAGCUGCAAAUAAACCAAUCAAUCAUUUUCUGCAACUCGGUAAAUCGAGUGGAGUUGUUGGCCAAGAAAAUUACAGAACUUGGCUAUUAUUGCUUUUAUAUACAUGCAAAGAUGCUACAAGACCAUCGUAACAGGGUAUUUCAUGAUUUCCGCAAUGGAGCAUGCAGGAACCUUGUCUGUACUGAUAUGUUAUGCUGUGGGUUUAUCAUACG
Molecule: long non-coding RNA, 876 nt
Organism: Hibiscus syriacus
Lineage: Eukaryota; Viridiplantae; Streptophyta; Magnoliopsida; Malvales; Malvaceae
Exons: 4
Source: RefSeq, a predicted model, not a curated record